CGCACCUUGCGCCCUUUGGUAUUCCGAAGGGCAUGCCUGUUUGAGUGUCAUUAAAUUCUCAACCUUGUGAGAUUUUUUUAUCUUGCGAGGCUUGGAUGUGAGGGUUUUUGCUGGCUUCCUUCAGUUGGAUGGUCUGCUCCCUUCAAAUUUAUUAGUGGGAUCCUUUGUGGAUGGUCACUUGGUGUGAUAAUUAUCUACGCCGCCUGACUCUGAAACAAGACUUGUGGGAACCUGCUUAUAACCGUCUUCUUUUGAAGACAAAUCUACCUUGACAAUUUGACCUCAAAUCAGGUAGGACUACCCGCUGAACUUAA
This 314-nucleotide unclassified non-coding RNA is filed under the name Mycena sinar var. tangkaisinar. Its description in RNAcentral is "partial contains 5.8S ribosomal RNA, internal transcribed spacer 2, and large subunit ribosomal RNA". Lineage: Eukaryota; Fungi; Basidiomycota; Agaricomycetes; Agaricales; Mycenaceae. The record is from RNAcentral.